UACGUAGGGGGCAAGCGUUGUCCGGAAUUAUUGGGCGUAAAGAGCGUGUAGGCGGUCCGGUAAGUCAGCUGUGAAAGUCAAGGGCUCAACCCUUGAAUGCCGGUUGAUACUGUCGGGCUAGAGUCCGGAAGAGGCGAGUGGAAUUCCCGGUGUAGCGGUGAAAUGCGCAGAUAUCAGGAGGAACACCGGUGGCGAAGGCGGAUCUCUGGGACGGUACUGACGCUGAGACGCGAAAGCGUGGGGAGCGAACAGG
Molecule: ribosomal RNA, 253 nt
Filed under: uncultured bacterium
Lineage: Bacteria
Description: partial 16S ribosomal RNA
Rfam family: Bacterial small subunit ribosomal RNA
Source: RNAcentral